UAUAUAUUCGACUGCUCUUUGAGCAAUACAUUUAGUUUCCUUUUUUUUUUGAGGGAAUACAUUUAUUUUUCUUGGUAUAGUUAUUUAGUCUAGGAAUUUGAGUAACAAAUAUAGAAAAAAAUCAAACCAACUAAGUAUCAAUGUUCGUAGUUAAUUGAGCCUAUACUAGUAUAAUUUCAUAAGAACUCAUCUUUGUCAACCAUUGCAGAGCUAGUCCCAGUGGGCACAUAUAUUAGAUUCCCCACAAUCCAAGACGCAUGACUACAAAAAUGAAUGGACAAUCGAGGCUGACGAUCGCCAGCAACUAUGUUAGAUUCCUUCCCAUCUUACGUUUUCUUUCUCUACUUGGCUCUCGCUGGUGAGGCUGAGAACCAACAAGGAAAACCACAUAAUUAUAUUGAUGUGAUGGCACAAUGCACGGAGGUCGAUCUGGAGGGAACGGCCGAGACUGGCGCAGCACUUUUUCUCCCAUCCAUGCCCAAUUUUGUGGACAUCUCCCAAGCCUAUCCAUGUAUCUACUGCACUUGCUGAAUACAGCUUCUGACUGAACAAUGAAGACCAUAUAAAUAUAUAGCUUCGAAUUUGAGUAAACGAAAUUAUGCAGCUCAUUACUAAAGACCAAGCGCACCUGCAACCAGCACAUAGAUGACCUAAUAACAGUAACUGAGACCAAAUUCUAGUUUGACAGUCUCAAAAGCCCACGAUCACAAAAUUAAUUUCGUAACUUUUCUCACCUCUUGUCAUAUUAUCUAUCGACCAGCAAGCAAGUGGGGAACUGUCCGCGAAAUCCCCACGGCUUACAUUUGAAGAUGUCCAAAUUGUCCAAGCUCAUAGACGCCUGCUUCUUAUUGGCCUUGGAGUACUCCGUGAGCUAGCACCAGAUGAGCAUGUAGACCAUGUCAUGAUUCAACAAGUGGUGGCGCACUGUGUUUCCAAGGUGGCAAGAGCCAUCGCUGCUGAGCAGCGUGUGUGGCACGCUAUGUUCCUGGGACAAGCUCGUAAUCGGUGUGGCAUGCCGAGGGCGCGAGUGAGCAUGCACACGACAUGCACAGGAGAGCGGUGAAAGGACAAACGGCCUGUCUCAUCUUCGAUGCCAUCCCAUGGUGGGCUUCAAAAAGCAAGUGCUAAGAAAUUAUAUAUAGUCUCUCUGCCCCAUCGCG
Molecule: long non-coding RNA, 1160 nt
Filed under: Sorghum bicolor (sorghum)
Lineage: Eukaryota; Viridiplantae; Streptophyta; Magnoliopsida; Poales; Poaceae
Description: long non-coding RNA (SBIC_LNC002235)
Source: RNAcentral